UGGGGAAUUUUGGACAAUGGGCGAAAGCCUGAUCCAGCAAUGCCGCGUGUGUGAAGAAGGCCUUCGGGUUGUAAAGCACUUUUGUCCGGAAAGAAAUGGCUCUGGUUAAUACCUGGGGUCGAUGACGGUACCGGAAGAAUAAGGACCGGCUAACUACGUGCCAGCAGCCGCGGUAAUACGUAGGGUCCAAGCGUUAAUCGGAAUUACUGGGCGUAAAGCGUGCGCAGGCGGUUGUGCAAGACCGAUGUGAAAAUCCCCGAGCUUAACUUGGGAAUUGCAUUGGUGACUGCACGGCUAGAGUGUGUCAGAGGGGGGUAGAAUUCCACGUGUAGCAGUGAAAAUGCGUAGAGAUGUGGAGGAAUACCGAUGGCGAAGGCAGCCCCCUGGGAUAACACUGACGCUCAUGCACGAAAAGCGUGGGGAGCAAAACAGGAUUAGAUACCCUGGUAGUCCACGCCCUAAAACGAUGUCAACUAGUUGUUGGGGAUUCAUUUCCUUAGUAAACGUAGCUAAACGCGUGAAAGUUGACCGCCU
This 534-nucleotide ribosomal RNA is filed under the name uncultured bacterium. RNAcentral's name for it is "partial 16S ribosomal RNA". It matches the Rfam family "Bacterial small subunit ribosomal RNA", at positions 355 to 874 of the family's 1533-position model. The record is from RNAcentral.